GAUGAACGCUGGCGGCGUGCCUAAUACAUGCAAGUCGAGCGAACAGAUGAGGAGCUUGCUCCUCUGACGUUAGCGGCGGACGGGUGAGUAACACGUGGAUAUCCUACCUAUAAGACUGGGAUAACUUCGGGAAACCGGAGCUAAUACCGGAUAAUAUAUUGAACCGCAUGGUUCAAUAGUGAAAGACGGUUUUGCUGUCACUUAUAGAUGGAUCCGCGCCGCAUUAGCUAGUUGGUAAGGUAACGGCUUACCAAGGCAACGAUGCGUAGCCGACCUGAGAGGGUGGUUGGCUACACUGGAACUGAGCCACGGUCCAGAUUCCUCCGUGCGGCAGCAGUAGGUAAUGUUCGGCAAUGGUCGAAUGCCUGUCGGAGGCACUCCGCGUGAGUGAUGAAGGUCUUCGGAUUGUAUAUCUCUUAUAUUAGGGAGGAUGGAAUGUGUAAGAAACUGUGAACAUCUUGACGGUACCUUAUCAAAAAGCCACGGCUAACUCCGUG
RNAcentral lists this ribosomal RNA (497 nucleotides) under uncultured bacterium. RNAcentral describes it as "partial 16S ribosomal RNA". It matches the Rfam family "Bacterial small subunit ribosomal RNA", at positions 28 to 507 of the family's 1533-position model. The record is from RNAcentral.